This 435-nucleotide ribosomal RNA is filed under the name uncultured Clostridium sp. RNAcentral describes it as "partial 16S ribosomal RNA". It matches the Rfam family "Bacterial small subunit ribosomal RNA", at positions 341 to 792 of the family's 1533-position model. The record is from RNAcentral. Lineage: Bacteria; Bacillati; Bacillota; Clostridia; Eubacteriales; Clostridiaceae.
ACGGAAGGCAGCAGUGGGGAAUAUUGGGCAAUGGGGGAAACCCUGACCCAGCAACGCCGCGUGAAGGAAGAAGGCCUUCGGGUUGUAAACUUCUUUUACCAGGGACGAAGAAUGACGGUACCUGGAGAAAAAGCAACGGCUAACUACGUGCCAGCAGCCGCGGUAAUACGUAGGUUGCAAGCGUUGUCCGGAUUUACUGGGUGUAAAGGGCGUGUAGGCGGAGCUGCAAGUCAGAUGUGAAAUCCCGGAGCUCAACCCCGGAACUGCAUUUGAAACUGUAGCCCUUGAGUAUCGGAGAGGCAAGCGGAAUUCCUAGUGUAGCGGUGAAAUGCGUAGAUAUUAGGAGGAACACCAGUGGCGAAGGCGGCUUGCUGGACGACAACUGACGCUGAGGCGCGAAAGCGUGGGGAGCAAACAGGAUUAGAUACCCUGGUA